RNAcentral lists this ribosomal RNA (435 nucleotides) under Canthon smaragdulus. Its description in RNAcentral is "partial 16S ribosomal RNA". The record is from RNAcentral. Lineage: Eukaryota; Metazoa; Arthropoda; Insecta; Coleoptera; Scarabaeidae.
UUUGAUUAUAAUUUAAAGUCUGACCUGCCCUAUGAAUUAUAUUUUUAAAUGGCUGCGGUAAUUUGACCGUGCAAAGGUAGCAUAAUAAUUAGUUUUUUAAUUGGGAACUGGUAUGAAUGGUCGAACGAGAAAAAGACUGUCUCAAUUUAAUUUAAAUUAGAAUUUUAUUUUUAAGUUAAAAAGCUUAAAUUUUCUUAAAAGACGAGAAGACCCUAUAGAGUUUUAUAUACAUUUUUAUAUAUAAAAGUUAAAGUAUUAUAGAUUUAUUUAUUUAAGUUUAUAUUUGGUUGGGGUGAUUGAAAAAUUGAAUUAACUUUUUUUAUAUAAGACCAUUGAUAUAUGAGUAAAUGAUCCAUAUUUUAUGAUUAAAAGAUUAAAUUACCUUAGGGAUAACAGCGUAAUUUUUUUUUAGAGUUCUAAUCGAAAAAGAAGUUU